GGUGAGGUGGAUGAGUGGCUGAAAUCAACGGUUUGCUAAACCGUCGUACGGGUCAAACCGUACCGGGGGUUCGAAUCCCCCCCUCACCG
Molecule: transfer RNA, 89 nt
Filed under: Chitinophagaceae bacterium
Lineage: Bacteria; Pseudomonadati; Bacteroidota; Chitinophagia; Chitinophagales; Chitinophagaceae
Also listed under: 1 other name
Description: tRNA-Ser
Rfam family: tRNA
About the family: Transfer RNA (tRNA) molecules are approximately 80 nucleotides in length. Their secondary structure includes four short double-helical elements and three loops (D, anti-codon, and T loops).
Source: RNAcentral